RNAcentral lists this long non-coding RNA (711 nucleotides) under Numida meleagris (helmeted guineafowl). RNAcentral's name for it is "lncRNA (ENSNMEG00000022964.1)". Lineage: Eukaryota; Metazoa; Chordata; Aves; Galliformes; Numididae. The record is from RNAcentral.
AUUCAGGCUGGGAAUGCUAUGUGGGUGCUUUAUGGGCUGCCAGGAGCAUACCACUUGUCAGGUAGCUCGUUAGGUCACCUCCCCUAUCUCUACCUUGGAUCCAGGAUUCCCAAAGGAAUCACUGCUUAGUCCAUCCUAUUCACUGGAAAUUUUACUGAUGAGGACUGUUUUUUUCAAGGAGUUGCCAACUAUAUUUGGGUGGUGGUGAAUUUUUUAUUUUCUCCCAGGUUCAGUGGAAACUUUUUCCUCUUUGUCUAUUCCCCAGUUUCUGGCAAAAAGGAAUCUUUCAUGAAGCUCAGGAGUUCUCCAGUCUGAAAGAUAUUCAUGGUCCUUGAGAGUGCAGACAUACCCUGGCAUAGAGGCUCUCUUGAGGUCCAGAAGAGCAUGUAAAGUUCAGCUGUUCCCUGGUGUCCAAUUCAAGAAUCCCCAGAAUAAGGCUGUUUGAUUAAAGCCUGAGCUUUUAACUUCAGUAAGACACGUAGGCUUGAGGGAGGAUGUGUUAUUGAAUGCCUGGAUCUGAGAGAGAACAAGUAUUACAUCCUCACUCAGUCAACACAACCCCAAGAGGAAUCUGUCACAGAGAGACAGAUUGACCAGCAGUACAGACUGCAUCAAGGGCAGCCUGCCUCUUUUACCUCAUGCAAAACUUCUUGGGAGCAUGAUGAGAGCAUCCUCAGGGCUCAGGCUGACUCCCGGAGAAGAAGGAGUUAA